GGGGGAACGGGAAGGGAGGGGAGGAGCGAGAGCCCUGCGUCUAGCUGCUACCAUUACGCUCUGGAGCAGUGGAGCGAAUUAGACGGACCGCCACAGUUAAUGUGGAGGAAGGAAGGGGCCACGGCAGGUCUUUUUGCCCCGAAACCCUAGGGCUACACGCGGGCUGCAAUGGUAUUGACAAUGUGUUCCGAAUCCGAAAGGAGGAGGCAAUCAUCAAACAAUAUCUCAGUUAUGACUGAGGGCUGUAACUCGCCCUCACGAAUAUGGAAUCCCUAGUAACCGCGCGUCACUACCGCGCGGUGAAUACGUCCCUGCUCCUUGCACGAAUUCGCCG
This 334-nucleotide ribosomal RNA is filed under the name uncultured Thermoprotei archaeon. Its description in RNAcentral is "bacterial SSU rRNA". It matches the Rfam family "Archaeal small subunit ribosomal RNA", at positions 1018 to 1352 of the family's 1478-position model. Lineage: Archaea; Thermoproteati; Thermoproteota; Thermoprotei. The record is from RNAcentral.